AGAACGAACGCUGGCGGCAUGCCUAAUACAUGCAAGUCGAACGAACUCUUCGGAGUUAGCGGCGCACGGGUGCGUAACGCGUGGGAAUCUGCCCCUUGGUUCGGAAUAACAGUUGGAAACGACUGCUAAUACCGGAUGAUGACGAAAGUCCAAAGAUUUAUCGCCAAGGGAUGAGCCCGCGUAGGAUUAGCUAGUUGGUGAGGUAAAGGCUCACCAAGGCAACGAUCCUUAGCUGGUCUGAGAGGAUGAUCAGCCACACUGGGACUGAGACACGGCCCAGACUCCUACGGGAGGCAGCAGUAGGGAAUAUUGGACAAUGGGCGAAAGCCUGAUCCAGCAAUGCCGCGUGAGUGAUGAAGGUCCUUAGGGUGUAAAGCUUCUUUACCGAGAUGAUAAUGACAGUAUCGGAG
This 410-nucleotide ribosomal RNA is filed under the name uncultured soil bacterium. RNAcentral's name for it is "bacterial SSU rRNA". It matches the Rfam family "Bacterial small subunit ribosomal RNA", at positions 26 to 483 of the family's 1533-position model. The record is from RNAcentral.